GGGAAUGUUACAUUAUGGAGAUAAGCCGUCUUUUUUAAAGUGAAAAAUAGUAAUCUUACAUAUGUUUAAUGUAGUUUUUCCAUUUUUUAUGCUGUAUGUUUACAUAUUUUUUACAAUUUUCGAAAAUAAGUAAUAUUAAAAUGUAAAACUACAUUUUAUGCCACGUGUCAUCUUUCGGGAGAAAUUUUUUCCGCUGAUGUGGACGCCCUAUGGAGCCUCAAAA
Molecule: long non-coding RNA, 223 nt
Filed under: Brassica rapa (field mustard)
Lineage: Eukaryota; Viridiplantae; Streptophyta; Magnoliopsida; Brassicales; Brassicaceae
Description: long non-coding RNA (BRAP_LNC000238)
Source: RNAcentral